Molecule: ribosomal RNA, 492 nt
Filed under: uncultured bacterium
Lineage: Bacteria
Description: partial 16S ribosomal RNA
Rfam family: Bacterial small subunit ribosomal RNA
Source: RNAcentral
AGUGAACGCUGGCGGUAGGCCUAACACAUGCAAGUCGAACGGCAGCACAGUAAGAGCUUGCUCUUACGGGUGGCGAGUGGCGGACGGGUGAGGAAUACAUCGGAAUCUACUUUUUCGUGGGGGAUAACGUAUUGAAACCUACGCUAAUACCGCAUACGACCUACGGGUGAAAGCAGGGGAUCUUCGGACCUUGCGCGAUUGAAUGAGCCGAUGUCGGAUUAGCUAGUUGGCGGGGUAAAGGCCCACCAAGGCGACGAUCCGUAGCUGGUCUGAGAGGAUGAUCAGCCACACUGGAACUGAGACACGGUCCAGACUCCUACGGGAGGCAGCAGUGGGGAAUAUUGGACAAUGGGCGCAAGCCUGAUCCAGCCAUACCGCGUGGGUGAAGAAGGCCUUCGGGUUGUAAAGCCCUUUUGUUGGGAAAGAAAAGCAGCAGGUUAAUACCCCGCUGUUCUGACGGUACCCAAAGAAUAAGCACCGGCUAACUUCGUG